GAUGAACGCUGGCGGCGUGCCUAAUACAUGCAAGUCGAGCGAACAGACGAGGAGCUUGCUCCUCUGACGUUAGCGGCGGACGGGUGAGUAACACGUGGAUAACCUACCUAUAAGACUGGGAUAACUUCGGGAAACCGGAGCUAAUACCGGAUAAUAUAUUGAACCGCAUGAUUCAAUAGUGAAAGACGGUUUUGCUGUCACUUAUAGAUGGAUCCGCGCCGCAUUAGCUAGUUGGUAAGGUAACGGCUUACCAAGGCAACGAUGCGUAGCCGACCUGAGAGGGUGAUCGGCCACACUGGAACUGAGACACGGUCCAGACUCCUACGGGAGGCAGCAGUAGGGAAUCUUCCGCAAUGGGCGAAAGCCUGACGGAGCAACGCCGCGUGAGUGAUGAAGGUCUUCGGAUCGUAAAACUCUGUUAUUAGGGAAGAACAAAUGUGUAAGUAACUAUGCACGUCCUGACGGUACCUAAUCAGAAAGCCACGGCUAACUACGUG
This 497-nucleotide ribosomal RNA is filed under the name uncultured bacterium. RNAcentral's name for it is "partial 16S ribosomal RNA". It matches the Rfam family "Bacterial small subunit ribosomal RNA", at positions 28 to 507 of the family's 1533-position model. The record is from RNAcentral.